GACAGAGGGUGCAAACGUUGUUCGGAAUUACUGGGCGUAAAGGGCUCGUAGGCUGCCAACUAAGUCAGACGUGAAAUCCCUCGGCUUAACCGGGGAACUGCGUCUGAUACUGGAUGGCUUGAGAUUGGGAGAGGGAUGCGGAAUUCCAGGUGUAGCGGUGAAAUGCGUAGAUAUCUGGAGGAACACCGGUGGCGAAGGCGGCAUCCUGGACCAACACUGACGCUGAUGAGCGAAAGCCAGGGGAGCAAACGGG
This 253-nucleotide ribosomal RNA is filed under the name uncultured bacterium. Its description in RNAcentral is "partial 16S ribosomal RNA". It matches the Rfam family "Bacterial small subunit ribosomal RNA", at positions 524 to 776 of the family's 1533-position model. The record is from RNAcentral.